UCAAGCGAAGAAGGGCAUACGGUGGAUGCCUUGGCACUAAGAGCCGAAGAAGGACGCGGUAAGCUGCGAAAAGCUACGACGAGCUGCAAGCAAGCUGAGACUCGUAGAUAUCCGAAUGGGAAAACCUGUAUGGAGUAAUAUUCAUACAUCCUGUAAUGAAUCCAUAGUUACAGGAAGGCAACCUGGGGAACUGAAACAUCUAAGUACCCAGAGGAAGAGAAAGAAAAAUCGAUUCCCUCAGUAGCGGCGAGCGAAGCGGGAAGAGCCCAAACCAACUCUUAGGAGUUGGGGUUGUAGGACUCUCAGAAUUGAUGGAUGCUUAGUCGAAUGGUCUGGGAAGGCCAAUCAUAGAAGGUAAGAAUCCUGUAGACGAAAAGCAGAAAGAGAGGAGAGUAUCCUGAGUACCACGAGGCACGUGAAAUCUAGUGGGAAGCAGGGGGGCCCAUCCCCCAAGGCUAAAUACUCCUUAGUGACCGAUAGAGAACAAGUACCGUGAGGGAAAGGUGAAAAGAACCCCGGGAGGGGAGUGAAAAGAACCUGAAACCGGAUGCUUACAAGCUGUCACAGCACAAUAGUAGUGUAGUGGCGUACUUUUUGUAGAACGGACCUGCGAGUUGCGUUAUGAAGCGAGGUUAAGGAGGGAAUCCGGAGCCGAAGCGAAAGCGAGUCUGAAGAGGGCGAAAGUUUUAUGACGCAGACCCGAAACCGGGUGAUCUACCCAUGAGCAGGAUGAAGCGUUAGUAAAAUAACGUGGAGGUCCGAACCAGGCAUCGUUGAAAAGAUGUUGGAUGACUUGUGGGUAGGGGUGAAAUUCCAAUCGAACUCGGAGAUAGCUGGUUCUCCUCGAAAUAGCUUUAGGGCUAGCCUUAAUUAGAUAACUUAUGGAGGUAGAGCACUGAAUGGACUAGGGGGCUUCACCGCCUACCGAAUCUUAUCAAACUGCGAAUGCCAUAAGUAAGAGAUUAGGAGUCAGACUGUGGGGGAUAAGCUUCAUGGUCAAAAGGGAAACAGCCCAGACCGCCAGUUAAGGUCCCAAAAUAAUGAUUAAGUGGAAAACGAUGUGAAAUCGCUCAGACAACCAGGAUGUUGGCUCAGAAGCAGCCACCAUUUAAAGAGUGCGUAAUAGCUCACUGGUCCAGGGGUUUUGCGCGGAAAAUGUAACGGGGCUCAAAUCAUUUACCGAAGCUGCGGAAUGUGUGAGAGCACAUUGGUAGAGGAGCGUUCUUAACACGGAGAAGGCAUACCGGAAGGAGUGCUGGAGAGUUAAGAAGUGAGAAUGCAGGUAUAAGUAUGCGAAAAGGCAGGUGAGAAUCCUGCCCGCCGAAAAUCUAAGGAUUCCUGGGGAAGGCUCGUCCGCCCAGGGUAAGUCGGGACCUAAGGCGAGGCCGAAAGGCGUAGUUGAUGGAAAACUGGUAGAUAUUCCAGUACCACCUAAUAUUGCAUGAGAGAAGUAGUGACGCAGAAGGAUAGGCAGAGCGCCCAGUUGGUGAGGCGUUUAAGUAAGUAGGGUAUCAGAUAGGGAAAACCGUCUGAUGAGGAGCCUGAGAUACGAAUACGAGGGAAAAAAAGUACCGAAGUCGCUGAUUCCCGGCUGCCAAGAAAAGCUGCUAUCGAGAUAGAGGGUGCCCGUACCGCAAACCGACACAGGUAGAUGGGGUGAGAAACCUAAGGCGCGCGAGAAAACUCUUGUUAAGGAACUCGGCAAAAUGACCCCGUAACUUCGGGAGAAGGGUUGCUUAUCAUGGUGAAGGUAGAACAACUGGAGCUGAGAUAAGUCGCAGAGAAAAGGUCCAGGCGACUGUUUAGCAAAAACACAGGUCAUUGCAAAAGUGAAAGCUGAAGUAUAAUGGCUGACGCCUGCCCGGUGCUGGAAGGUUAAGGGGAAGAGUGAGAGCUUUGAACCGAAGCCCCAGUAAACGGCGGCCGUAACUAUAACGGUCCUAAGGUAGCGAAAUUCCUUGUCGGGUAAGUUCCG
RNAcentral lists this ribosomal RNA (1975 nucleotides) under human gut metagenome. Its description in RNAcentral is "bacterial LSU rRNA". It matches the Rfam family "Bacterial large subunit ribosomal RNA", at positions 3 to 1985 of the family's 2925-position model. The record is from RNAcentral.